GUGCUUACUUCAGCAGCACAUAUAUUAAAAUUGCAACAAUAUUGAAAAGAUUGGCAUGGCCGCUACCCCAAGGAUGACACACAAAUUCGUGAAACACUCCACAUUUGG
This is a small nuclear RNA of Choloepus didactylus (southern two-toed sloth), 108 nucleotides long. Lineage: Eukaryota; Metazoa; Chordata; Mammalia; Pilosa; Megalonychidae. The record is from RefSeq and is a predicted model, not a curated record.